CAGCAGGUUCGGGUCGAACGCAGUGAGACAACGGAGCCGCUUGCGGCGAGGCCCGAAGGGCGAGGCGAAGCCGAGUCAUCCUGCACGACCCACCA
Molecule: small RNA, 95 nt
Filed under: Klebsiella pneumoniae
Lineage: Bacteria; Pseudomonadati; Pseudomonadota; Gammaproteobacteria; Enterobacterales; Enterobacteriaceae
Description: partial RtT sRNA
Rfam family: RtT RNA
About the family: This family represents a bacterial cis-regulatory element known as RtT RNA. The exact function of RtT is unknown although it is thought that it may be involved in changing the cellular response in relation to amino acid starvation.
Source: RNAcentral